AUUGAACGCUGGCGGCAUGCCUUACACAUGCAAGUCGAACGGUAACAGAUCUUCAGCUUGUGCUGACGGGCGGACGGUGGCGUACGAGUUCGGAACGUGCCCGAACCUGGGUUUUCACGGGGCGAAAGCUUUGCUAACACACCCUAAUAUCUCCGGCUACCUGCGGGUGACCGCAAGGCCUCUUGCGACCUUGCGCGCUGAUGUCAGAUUAGGUAGUUGGUGGGAUAAAAGCCUACCAAGCCGACGAUCUGUAGCUGGUCUGAGAGGAUGAUCAGCCACACUGGAACUGAGACACGGCCCAGACUCCUACGGGAGGCAGCAGUGGGGAAUAUUGGACAAAGGGCGAAAGCCUGAUCCAGCCAUGCCGCGUGGGGGAUGAAGGCCUUCGGGUUGUAAACUGCUUUUGUAGGGAAAGAAAAGACUCUGGUUAAUACCUCGGGUCCAUGACGGUACCGUAAGAAUAAGCACCGGCUAACUACGUG
This 482-nucleotide ribosomal RNA is filed under the name uncultured bacterium. RNAcentral describes it as "partial 16S ribosomal RNA". It matches the Rfam family "Bacterial small subunit ribosomal RNA", at positions 30 to 507 of the family's 1533-position model. The record is from RNAcentral.